UCUGAUUGGCUUGCAGGUCAUUCUACAGUGUAAAUUAUAAACGAAAACGUGCUUUUAUAUCAGUGUUACAGAUUCACAAUACCGAGCGUGUCUCAACCCGUACCGCGCUUUUAUCUGCCUAAAGGUAUCUUCACGCAUGACUGGAUAGGCCUUUUGGAUACGCUUGUCCAAGGCCCAAGACAUAAAGUCGCCUGAAAGCUGUGUAGCAAUCAUUCCAUUGCUGACCCAUAGGAUGGUAAUCACAUACAUGAUUGGCUUAAUCUAGAAUCAUGGAUACCUUUCAUACCUUCUCAUCACAAGUUGGAACUAGUGGUCAACAUUGGGACAAUGCAGCCAUAAAUAACAUGGACCAAUAUUGUCAUGGAGUGAGCAAGACCUGCCAGCAGAGCUCACUGGAGCAGGGAGACAUCCCGUCAUCCUUUUGGCACCUGACAAAGUACACUUUUUUYCUUCUAAAUAACACUAUAGUAACAUCUUCUGCACAAAGUUACAUUCCUAAUAAGAU
Salvelinus sp. IW2-2015 is the source of this 505-nucleotide long non-coding RNA. RefSeq lists it as uncharacterized. The record is from RefSeq and is a predicted model, not a curated record. Lineage: Eukaryota; Metazoa; Chordata; Actinopteri; Salmoniformes; Salmonidae.